AUGCCUGUUACAUCUCUGUCUACUUUUCUUACUCCAUGUAGGUUUCCCAGAGACUAUGGGUUGAGGAGGAAUUGGAAGUUUGUCGGCUUAGACCUGGUGUCAUUCCAUCAGUGUUAAACUUCCUGGCUCAUCUUGGAAGAGAACGUGCCAGAAAGACCACGACCAAGCAGCCUUGAGAUCUUAGGCAGCGUCUCCCUGAGGUCCCUCUCUAUCUCCCCACACAUCCACCAACCACUGGAACACAUCUCCAAAGUUCUGUCGGGCCAGCUCAGCUUCCCCUCAGAAGAAGUGCUGCCACCUGCCAGAUGAAGGAGCCUUUUGAGAGGCAGCUGGCAUCGUGAUUGGACUGUACUUUGGUCUGUUCCAAUCCAGCUUCAGCUCCAGAGACGGCAGGCGGGACGAGUCAACGGAGGCCUGGUGGACGAAGGCAUGCAGCUGAGUACAAUCCAGAAAACAACAGAGGAGGAGUGCAGGGCCAGAACAGAGUAGCAUCGUAUGUCUCUUAGAAAACAUCAUAGUAUAGCCUUUGGUAUGAUAAAACGCCAUCAUAUACAUCGUAUAUUGUACAAAUAACAAGUCAAAGGAAAGAGACAUACAUUGUAGAAUUGUAGUAAUUGUGAGCUGACUGAUUUACUGAUUAUCAGUAUUUUAUUUUUUACUGAUUUACGGUAAUAAAUACAUUUAAAAAUGG
Long non-coding RNA from Amphiprion ocellaris (clown anemonefish), 691 nucleotides. RefSeq lists it as uncharacterized. The transcript has 2 exons. Lineage: Eukaryota; Metazoa; Chordata; Actinopteri; Pomacentridae. The record is from RefSeq and is a predicted model, not a curated record.